UGGGGAAUCUUGCGCAAUGGUCUAACGACUGACGCAGCGACGCCGCGUGAGGGAUGAAGCUUUUCGGAGUGUAAACCUCUGUUGCUCGGGACGAAUAAUCGGAUUUCUCCGAUUUGACGGUACCGGGUGAGGAAGCACCGGCUAACUCCGUGCCAGCAGCCGCGGUAAUACGGGGGGUGCGAGCGUUGUCCGGAAUCACUGGGCGUAAAGGGCGCGUAGGUGGUCUUGUAAGUCUGUGGUGAAAGCCCGGGGCUCAACCCCGGGUCUGCCGCGGAUACUGCGAGACUUGAGUACUGUAGAGGCUGGUAGAAUGCCGGGUGUAGCGGUGGAAUGCGUAGAGAUCCGGCAGAAGACCGGUGGCGAAGGCGGCCAGCUGGGCAGUAACUGACACUGAGGCGCGACAGCGUGGGGAGCAAACAGG
This 421-nucleotide ribosomal RNA is filed under the name uncultured bacterium. RNAcentral's name for it is "bacterial SSU rRNA". It matches the Rfam family "Bacterial small subunit ribosomal RNA", at positions 355 to 776 of the family's 1533-position model. The record is from RNAcentral.